This 407-nucleotide ribosomal RNA is filed under the name uncultured bacterium. RNAcentral's name for it is "partial 16S ribosomal RNA". It matches the Rfam family "Bacterial small subunit ribosomal RNA", at positions 30 to 526 of the family's 1533-position model. The record is from RNAcentral.
AUUGAACGCUGGCGGCAGGCCUAACACAUGCAAGUCGAGCGGAGCGGCGGACGGGUGAGUAAUGCCUAGGAAUCUGCCUGGUAGUGGGGGAUAACGUCCGGAAACGGGCGCUAAUACCGCAUACUAUCAGAUGAGCCUAGGUCGGAUUAGCUAGUUGGUGGGGUAAAGGCCUACCAAGGCGACGAUCCGUAACUGGUCUGAGAGGAUGAUCAGUCACACUGGAACUGAGACACGGUCCAGACUCCCACGGGAGGCAGCCGUGGGGAAUAUUGGACAAUGGGCGAAAGCCUGAUCCAGCCAUGCCGCGGGUGUGAAGAAGGUCUUCGGAUUGUAAAGCACUUUAAGGUGGGAGGCGUUACCCGCAGAAGAAGCACCGGCUAACUCCGUGCCAGCAGCCGCGGUAAUAC